This is a non-coding RNA of Mycena leptocephala, 95 nucleotides long. The record is from the annotation of a GenBank genome assembly. NCBI's taxonomy places the organism in Eukaryota, Fungi, Basidiomycota, Agaricomycetes, Agaricales, Mycenaceae.
GGUCUGGUGGUGUAGCGGUAACACACCCUCUAUUAUUACGCCAAAAUAUCUCCACAGUUCCGAGGAAUCCUCUUGUUCGAAUCAAGGCCAGGCCA